This is a long non-coding RNA of Equus asinus (donkey), 1904 nucleotides long. Lineage: Eukaryota; Metazoa; Chordata; Mammalia; Perissodactyla; Equidae. The record is from Ensembl.
GUAAAGGAACUUUUGUAAAUAGGCCUUUAGUAACGUGGUGGUGAGGUGUGGAGUGAGAGGAAGUGUUCUAUAGUCCUCAGAUUAGAGCUCAGUCAUUUGGUGAGCCUGUCUCUGGACUGUGAACUUUAUAAGAGUUUCUCAGUUUUUUUUCCUCUUAGAUGAGACAGGAUGGCUGGAGUGCGCUGGAGUUGGAUAGUUUCCUUCUCCCAGGUGGAAGACAAGAGCAGGCCAGAAUUGGGUAUUUCCCUUCCCCCAGGUCACUUCGGCUCUGAUAAUAUCCCAGCAGGUUAGGAUCUGGUUAACUAGUUUCCACUGAGGCAGGCCUUGUUAAGAAAAGGCAUAGGGGCUGGCCUGAUUGCACAGUGGUUGAGUUUGUGUGCUCUGCUUCAGGUGCCCACAGUUUGCAGGUUCAGAUCCUGGGCACAGACGUAGCACCACUUGUCAAGCCACCCUGUAGUCGCAUCCCACAAAAUAGAGGAAGGUUGGCACAGAUGUUAGGUCAGUGACAAUCUUCCUCGCCUCACACACACGCAAAAAAGAUUACACUGGCAUAUUUCAAAAUGGUUCUUUUUUCCCCUCCCCCUACUGGAAGCACAAAGGAGAUUUUUCUCCAGUAUAUACUGUGGGAAUCUGGUUGAGCUCCUGGAGGUGAAUCUCACAGUAUUGUUGGGUUGGGGAGGUCCCCCUUUGAUUGAGUCCACCUGGGGAGUUUUUAACUCUUAGCGUUGUCCUCAUUGAGCCUCCAACAAUUCAUCAACUUUAGUUCUGGGUUUUCUUCCCGGCGCUGCUUCCUGCAGUGGUAUUGGCUCCUGAUUCUCUGCUCAGAAUUCCAUCCUGCGGGUCUACUUUCCAGAGCUGGCUGUUGUACCCAGGGGGCUCCUAGAAAGCAGAGAGCAACAAAAGGGCUUCUGAAAAAAAAAGACCGAUAUAGAAAAAGUUGUACCAGAGGAGCUCAUGCUCAUCUUGACCUGAUUAGAUGAUGAUUUCUGCACUUCAAGCUAAUUCCAUAAUAAGUUUAGCCCUGAGCUAACAUCUGUUGCCAAUCUUCCUUUUUUUGCUUGAAGAAGAUAGUCGCUGAGCUGACAUCUGUGCCCAUCUUCUCCAAUUUUAUGUGGGAUGCUGCCACAGUGUGGCUUGACUAGCAGUGCUAGGUAUGUGCCCAGGAUACCAACCUGCAAACACCAGGUGCUGAAACAGAGUGUGCAAACCCAACCACUAUGCCACCUGAAGAUUGACUUUUAAAUGCUGUGUUCAAACAAGGCAUAAAAACAUUGUAUGCAAAGUGGAAAUAUCGGCAGAAGCGGGUGAAACUGGCAAAUUUGAAAGAUGAAAGGUGGCAAAUAAAACUGCCAAGAGAAAGAGGAUGAAGAGAUCCUUGCUGAAGGCAACAACGGAGAGGAUAGCGAUGCAAGAAGAAUCAUGAACAUUGCCUAAACCAGGACUGACUUCCUGCUUUGAGCUAGAUCUUGUUAUGGUAUUACAGUAAACAGUGAAAUAGGUAUUUCACAACACCUACAACCACUCCCUAUUAAAAUAUUUUCCUUCUGUUCCUUUAUUCUCUAUCUUGAACAUUAAUAGAUGAUAAUCAAGUACUAUUUUAUUUUUGUUGGGUUCAACUCCAUUCUUUUCUCAACAGUUCAAGGAGUUCUUCACAUACACAAUCAUAUUUCAUGUGUGUGAGAGUGGGAGUGUAUGAGAUACUUCCCAGGUAUCAAAUUUUAUCCUCAUGCUCUGACCCCAUUUUUUGCCUGGUUAGUGACAAAAAUAAAAAGUAUGGCCAGGGGCUGGCCCCGUGGCCGAGUGGUGAAGUUGGCACACUCUGCUUCGCUGGCCCAGGAUUCGGAUCCUUGGCGCAGACGUGGCAUGCACGGCUCGUCAGGCCAUGCUGAGUUGGCAUCCCACAU